GUGAACCCUCCUUUAAUAGUCAUAUUUCAUUAAUAUACAGGGUCCAUUUUGACACAAGACAACAAUCCAGACUAAGAAUUUACCAAAGGUCAGAUCAUAAUGAAUACGGGUGUUAUAUGGACAGAGUCGAACUGAUCUCAGAUCAGCACUCAUACUCUGAUGGCGAAUUCUCUCUCUCCGAUCAUCCUUUCCAUAAUUUCAGAAUGUCACCAGGUGUGGAGGUGUAACCAGGGUGUAGUGAUGUAGUAAAUUAAUGUCACCAGGUGUGGAGGUGUAACCAGGGUGUAGUGAUGUAGUAAAUUAAUGUCAUCAGGUGUGGAGGUGUAACCAGGGUGUAGUGAUGUAGUAAAUUAAUGUCAUCAGGUGUGGAGGUGUAACCAGGGUGUAGUGAUGUAGUAAAUUAAUGUCACCAGGUGUGGAGGUGUAACCAGGGUGUAGUGAUGUAGUAAAUUAAUGUCACCAGGUGUGGAGGUGUAACCAGGGUGUAGUGAUGUAGUAAAUUAAUGUCACCAGGUGUGGAGGUGUAACCAGGGUGUAGUGAUGUAGUAAAUUAAUGUCACCAGGUGUGGAGGUGUAACCAGGGUGUAGUGCUGCUAGAGGUUUAAUUAAUAAAAUACUAUGUGAUCUUAACUCACCUGUCCAUCGUCUGCUGUGUCCCUUGUGUCAGAGGUGGAUUUGGAGGCCUUCCUGUUUUACACGUCAACAAAUGAAUGAAUGAAUGAAUGAAUAAUCAAGUUAAUAAAUUAAAAUGAUAAUGUGAAAUGACGGUCUUAGAAAGAUUCUCACCUGAACCACAUGAAGACAGAGAGACGGAGUAUGAUAAUCUGUGAUUCCUUCAGCUGAAGUCAUAACUGAGGUCUGUUUCUCUAAAGGUUCAACAAAAAGGUGGAUGAUAUGAAUACACAUGUUAUCAUAUAGUGGAGCUUGAAAUGAAAUAUCCUUGUAUUUGAAUCUCACAUUUUUUACCUGUACUUGUUGACUUUCUCUCAGAUAUGUGAUUCUCAGGGUGGAG
RNAcentral lists this long non-coding RNA (1012 nucleotides) under Salmo salar (Atlantic salmon). RNAcentral's name for it is "lncRNA (ENSSSAG00000120423.1)". The record is from RNAcentral. Lineage: Eukaryota; Metazoa; Chordata; Actinopteri; Salmoniformes; Salmonidae.